This 747-nucleotide ribosomal RNA is filed under the name Rothia mucilaginosa. Its description in RNAcentral is "bacterial SSU rRNA". It matches the Rfam family "Bacterial small subunit ribosomal RNA", at positions 28 to 776 of the family's 1533-position model. Lineage: Bacteria; Bacillati; Actinomycetota; Actinomycetes; Micrococcales; Micrococcaceae. The record is from RNAcentral.
GACGAACGCUGGCGGCGUGCUUAACACAUGCAAGUCGAACGAUGAAGCCUAGCUUGCUAGGUGGAUUAGUGGCGAACGGGUGAGUAAUACGUGAGUAACCUACCUUUAACUCUGGGAUAAGCCUGGGAAACUGGGUCUAAUACCGGAUACGACCAAUCUCCGCAUGGGGUGUUGGUGGAAAGCGUUAUGUAGUGGUUAUAGAUGGGCUCACGGCCUAUCAGCUUGUUGGUGAGGUAACGGCUCACCAAGGCGACGACGGGUAGCCGGCCUGAGAGGGUGACCGGCCACACUGGGACUGAGACACGGCCCAGACUCCUACGGGAGGCAGCAGUGGGGAAUAUUGCACAAUGGGCGCAAGCCUGAUGCAGCGACGCCGCGUGAGGGAUGACGGCCUUCGGGUUGUAAACCUCUGUUAGCAGGGAAGAAGAGAGAUUGACGGUACCUGCAGAGAAAGCGCCGGCUAACUACGUGCCAGCAGCCGCGGUAAUACGUAGGGCGCGAGCGUUGUCCGGAAUUAUUGGGCGUAAAGAGCUUGUAGGCGGUUUGUCGCGUCUGCUGUGAAAGGCCGGAGCUUAACUCCGUGUAUUGCAGUGGGUACGGGCAGACUAGAGUGCAGUAGGGGAAGACUGGAAUUCCUGGUUGUAGCGGUGGGAAUGCGCAGAUAUCAGGAGGCACACCGGAUGGCGAAGGGCAGGUUCUCUGGGCUGUAACUGACGCUGAGAAGCGAAAGCAUGGGGAGCGAACAGG